GAGUUUGAUCCUGGCUCAGAUUGAACGCUGGCGGCAGGCCUAACACAUGCAAGUUGAGCGGUAGAGAGAAGCUUGCUUCUCUUGAGAGCGGCGGACGGGUGAGUAAUGCCUAGGAAUCUGCCUGGUAGUGGGGGAUAACGCUCGGAAACGGACGCUAAUACCGCAUACGUCCUACGGGAGAAAGCAGGGGACCUUCGGGCCUUGCGCUAUCAGAUGAGCCUAGGUCGGAUUAGCUAGUUGGUGAGGUAAUGGCUCACCAAGGCGACGAUCCGUAACUGGUCUGAGAGGAUGAUCAGUCACACUGGAACUGAGACACGGUCCAGACUCCUACGGGAGGCAGCAGUGGGGAAUAUUGGACAAUGGGCGAAAGCCUGAUCCAGCCAUGCCGCGUGUGUGAAGAAGGUCUUCGGAUUGUAAAGCACUUUAAGUUGGGAGGAAGGGCAGUAAAUUAAUACUUUGCUGUUUUGACGUUACCGACAGAAUAAGCACCGGCUAACUCUGU
RNAcentral lists this ribosomal RNA (502 nucleotides) under uncultured bacterium. RNAcentral describes it as "bacterial SSU rRNA". It matches the Rfam family "Bacterial small subunit ribosomal RNA", at positions 9 to 506 of the family's 1533-position model. The record is from RNAcentral.